Molecule: non-coding RNA, 112 nt
Organism: Acanthosepion pharaonis
Lineage: Eukaryota; Metazoa; Mollusca; Cephalopoda; Sepiida; Sepiidae
Source: the annotation of a GenBank genome assembly
AUGGCCACAUCACAGUAAAACAUCAGUUUCUGUAUGAUCACUGAAGUUAAGCAACAUUGAGCCCAAUCAGUACCUAGAUUAAUGACCACUUGGGAAUACCAGGUGCUGUAAG